ACGGUGGGCGGCAGGCCUAACACAUGCAAGUCGAACGGUAACAGGAAGCAGCUUGCUUUUUCGCUGACGAGUGGCGGACGGGUGAGUAAUGUCUGGGAAACUGCCUGAUGGAGGGGGAUAACUACUGGAAACGGUAGCUAAUACCGCAUAACGUCGCAAGACCAAAGAGGGGGACCUUCGGGCCUCUUGCCAUCGGAUGUGCCCAGAUGGGAUUAGCUAGUAGGUGGGGUAACGGCUCACCUAGGCGACGAUCCCUAGCUGGUCUGAGAGGAUGACCAGCCACACUGGAACUGAGACACGGUCCAGACUCCUACGGGAGGCAGCAGUGGGGAAUAUUGCACAAUGGGCGCAAGCCUGAUGCAGCCAUGCCGCGUGUAUGAAGAAGGCCUUCGGGUUGUAAAGUACUUUCAGCGGGGAGGAAGGGAGUAAAGUUAAUACCUUUGCUCAUUGACGUUACCCGCAGAAGAAGCACCGGCUAACUCCGUGCCAGCAGCCGCGGUAAUACGGAGGGUGCAAGCGUUAAUCGGAAUUACUGGGCGUAAAGCGCACGCAGGCGGUUUGUUAAGUCAGAUGUGAAAUCCCCGGGCUCAACCUGGGAACUGCAUCUGAUACUGGCAAGCUUGAGUCUCGUAGAGGGGGGUAGAA
Molecule: ribosomal RNA, 645 nt
Filed under: Shigella sp.
Lineage: Bacteria; Pseudomonadati; Pseudomonadota; Gammaproteobacteria; Enterobacterales; Enterobacteriaceae
Description: bacterial SSU rRNA
Rfam family: Bacterial small subunit ribosomal RNA
Source: RNAcentral